RNAcentral lists this ribosomal RNA (450 nucleotides) under uncultured bacterium. Its description in RNAcentral is "partial 16S ribosomal RNA". It matches the Rfam family "Bacterial small subunit ribosomal RNA", at positions 338 to 795 of the family's 1533-position model. The record is from RNAcentral.
CCUACGGGUGGCUGCAGUGGGGAAUAUUGGACAAUGGGCGAAAGCCUGAUCCAGCAAUACCGCGUGUGUGAAGAAGGCCUGAGGGUUGUAAAGCACUUUCAAUAGGAAGGAAUACCUGCCGGUUAAUACCCGGUAGACUGACAUUACCUAUACAAGAAGCACCGGCUAACUCCGUGCCAGCAGCCGCGGUAAUACGGAGGGUGCAAGCGUUGGUCGGAAUUACUGGUCGUAGAGCGGUUCAAUCCGGCUUGAAAGCCCCGGGCUUAACCUGGGAACUGCAGUUGAUACUGGCAGGCUAGAGUUGAGUAGAGGAGAGUGGAAUUUCAGGUGUAGCGGUGAAAUGCGUAGAGAUCUGAAGGAACACCAGUGGCGAAGGCGGCUCUCUGGACUCAAACUGACGCUGAGGUACGAAAGCGUGGGUAGCAAACAGGAUUAGAUACCCUGGUAGUC